Molecule: non-coding RNA, 281 nt
Filed under: Ovis aries (sheep)
Lineage: Eukaryota; Metazoa; Chordata; Mammalia; Artiodactyla; Bovidae
Description: HIF-1 alpha IRES
Rfam family: HIF-1 alpha IRES
About the family: This family represents the hypoxia-inducible factor 1-alpha internal ribosome entry site.
Source: Rfam by way of RNAcentral
CUCGUCUGGAGGGGACGCGAGGAUCGCCCUCGCUGCCGCUUUGGCCAGUGCGUCGGCCCGGGCCCUGACAAGCUGCCCCAGGGGAAGCUCUUCGAGCCAGAGUUGGACCUCUGGCGAUUGCGUCUGCUCUCCUCUCUUGAUCUCACGAGGGGUUCGCUCGCCACCCCCCACCUCUGACGUGCCUUUCUCCCCUCCCGCGUGUGGAGGGAGCCAGCGCUUAGGCCGGAGCGAGCCUGGGGGCCGCGGGCCGUGAAGGCAUCGCGGGCACGACGUUCACCAUG